UUUAAUUCGAUGCAACGCGAAAAACCUUACCACUCCUUGACAUGGAAAUUAUACCUAUUCGAAGGAAUAGGAUCGGUUCGGCCGGAUUUCACACAGGUGUUGCAUGGCUGUCGUCAGCUCGUGUCGUGAGAUGUUGGGUUAAGUCCCGCAACGAGCGCAACCCUCAUCCUUAGUUACCAUCGGGUCAUGCCGGGGACUUUAAGGAAACUGCCAGUGAUAAACUGGAGGAAGGCGGGGAUGAUGUCAAGUCAUCAUGGCCCUUAUGGAGUGGGCUACACACGUGCUACAAUGGUGAUUACAGUGGGCUGCAAGGUCGCAAGGCCAAGCCAAUCCCUAAAAAUCAUCUCAGUUCGGAUUGUUCUCUGCAACUCGAGAGCAUGAAGUUGGAAUCGCUAGUAAUCGUGGAUCAGCAUGCCA
Molecule: ribosomal RNA, 417 nt
Filed under: uncultured bacterium
Lineage: Bacteria
Description: bacterial SSU rRNA
Rfam family: Bacterial small subunit ribosomal RNA
Source: RNAcentral